Molecule: ribosomal RNA, 685 nt
Filed under: Inocybe pseudorubens
Lineage: Eukaryota; Fungi; Basidiomycota; Agaricomycetes; Agaricales; Inocybaceae
Description: eukaryotic LSU rRNA
Rfam family: 5.8S ribosomal RNA (bases 316-469)
Source: RNAcentral
AGGAAGUAAAAGUCGUAACAAGGUUUCCGUAGGUGAACCUGCGGAAGGAUCAUUAUCGUAUAAACUUGAACAGGCUGUUGCUGGCCCUCCGGGGUGUCGUGCACGCUUGUCUCAUCUUUGUCAUUUCUUCCAACUGUGCACAUUUUGUAGAUCCUGGAAAUGGGAGAGCUCCAUGAACUUGUGUUCGAGUCGGGAAUUGCUGUCGCUUUUUUCUUAGGCCGGCUUUUCCUUGUACCUUUCCCCCAGGUCUAUGUCAUUUUAUCACAAUCUCUCGAGUAUGUUCAGAAUGUCGUUGGAAUAUAAUAUAAUAUAUACAACUUUCAGCAACGGAUCUCUUGGCUCUCGCAUCGAUGAAGAACGCAGCGAAAUGCGAUAAGUAAUGUGAAUUGCAGAAUUCAGUGAAUCAUCGAAUCUUUGAACGCAUCUUGCGCUCCUUGGUAUUCCGAGGAGCAUGCCUGUUUGAGUGUCAUUUAACUUAUCAACCAUGUUUCAUGUNUGGAACGUGGCUUGGAUGUGGGGGCUCUUUUGCAGGCCNAUCUAUGGGUCGGCUCCCCUGAAACGCAUUAGUGGCAUNUGAGCUGCUACUGUAGGUGUGAUAAAUUAUCUAUGCCUUUGGUAUGCUGCAUGAACAGAUCACGCUGCUCAGAACCAAACUUGAGAAAGACUUGACAAACUGACCUCAAAU